This 219-nucleotide long non-coding RNA is filed under the name Gossypium barbadense (sea-island cotton). Its description in RNAcentral is "long non-coding RNA (GBAR_LNC020999)". Lineage: Eukaryota; Viridiplantae; Streptophyta; Magnoliopsida; Malvales; Malvaceae. The record is from RNAcentral.
UCUCCAUUUCAUCCUCGUCAUUAGUUUCCUUCCCAUCCUCAUGUUUCAAACUCCAUAUUGUAUUCCUUCGUCUACGAUGAGAGGCGUAAUUGUGAAAAAAAUUAUAUUUUUAUCCUCUAGCCUCAACAAGUUAACACAAGCUCUCUGUUCCCAAUACAUUUCAUCCUUAUCGAUCUCAAGUUUUAGCUGAACCUUAAUAUCAAUGAUUUUCACAAGAUU